This 440-nucleotide ribosomal RNA is filed under the name uncultured bacterium. Its description in RNAcentral is "SSU rRNA". It matches the Rfam family "Bacterial small subunit ribosomal RNA", at positions 26 to 518 of the family's 1533-position model. The record is from RNAcentral.
AGAGCGAACGCUGGCGGCAGGCCUAACACAUGCAAGUCGAGCGCCCCGCAAGGGGAGCGGCAGACGGGAGAGUAACACGUGGGAACGUACCCUUCAGUUCGGAACAACCCAGGGAAACUUGGGCUAAUACCGGAUACGUCCGUAAGGAGAAAGAUUUAUCGCUGAAGGAUCGGCCCGCGUCUGAUUAGCUUGUUGGUGAGGUAACGGCUCACCAAGGCUACGAUCAGUAGCUGGUCUGAGAGGAUGAUCAGCCUCACUGGGACUGAGACACGGCCCAGACUCCUACGGGAGGCAGCAGUGGGGAAUAUUGGACAAUGGGCGCAAGCCUGAUCCAGCCAUGCCGCGUGGGUGAUGAAGGCCCUAGGGUUGUAAAGCCCUUUCGGCGGGAAGAUAAUGACGGUACCGCAGAAGAGCCCGGCUAACUUCGCGCCAGCAGCCGC